GAUGAACGCUGGCGGCGUGCCUAAUACAUGCAAGUCGAGCGAACAGACGAGGAGCUUGCUCCUCUGACGUUAGCGGCGGACGGGUGAGUAACACGUGGAUAACCUACCUAUAAGACUGGGAUAACUUCGGGAAACCGGAGCUAAUACCGGAUAAUAUAUUGAACCGCAUGGUUCAAUAGUGAAAGACGGUUUUGCUGUCACUUAUAGAUGGAUCCGCGCCGCAUUAGCUAGUUGGUAAGGUAACGGCUUACCAAGGCAACGAUGCGUAGCCGACCUGAGAGGGUGAUCGGCCACACUGGAACUGAGACACGGUCCAGACUCCUACGGGAGGCAGCAGUAGGGAAUCUUACGCAAUGGGCGAAAGCCUGACGGAGCAAAGCCGCGUGAGUGAUGAAGGUCUUCGGAUCGUAAAACUCUGUUAUUAGGGAAGAACAAAUGUGUAAGUAACUAUGCACGUCUUGACGGUACCUAAUCAGAAAGCCACGGCUAACUACGUG
This 497-nucleotide ribosomal RNA is filed under the name uncultured bacterium. Its description in RNAcentral is "partial 16S ribosomal RNA". It matches the Rfam family "Bacterial small subunit ribosomal RNA", at positions 28 to 507 of the family's 1533-position model. The record is from RNAcentral.